UACGUAGGAGGCGAGCGUUGUCCGGAAUCACUGGGCGUAAAGCGCGUGUAGGCGGAUGACUAAGUUUGCUGUGAAAGCGCCUGGCUUAACUGGGCGAGGUCGGCGAAAACUAGUCGUCUGGAGGCCGGUAGAGGGGGGUGGAAUUCCGGGUGUAGUGGUGAAAUGCGUAGAUACUGGGAGGAACACCAGUGGCGAAGGCGGCUACCUGGACCGGUUCUGACGCUGAGGCGCGAAAGCGUGGGUAGCAAACAGG
Molecule: ribosomal RNA, 253 nt
Filed under: uncultured bacterium
Lineage: Bacteria
Description: partial 16S ribosomal RNA
Rfam family: Bacterial small subunit ribosomal RNA
Source: RNAcentral